AAUGAAUGAUGACAAAGUGUUUCGGUCCCAGAUGAGAACAUACUGAUUUUGCCGUUACAUUUAUUUCUGACAUU
Molecule: small nucleolar RNA, 74 nt
Filed under: Meriones unguiculatus (Mongolian gerbil)
Lineage: Eukaryota; Metazoa; Chordata; Mammalia; Rodentia; Muridae
Description: Small nucleolar RNA SNORD73 (ENSMUGG00000013259.1)
Rfam family: Small nucleolar RNA SNORD73
About the family: U73 is a member of the C/D class of snoRNA which contain the C (UGAUGA) and D (CUGA) box motifs. U73 is encoded within the introns of ribosomal protein S3a and contains a 12nt region of complementarity to a conserved sequence in 28S ribosomal RNA. U73 is therefore thought to function as a 2'-O-ribose methylation guide for pre-rRNA.
Source: RNAcentral